This 71-nucleotide transfer RNA is filed under the name Dechloromonas sp. RNAcentral describes it as "tRNA-Val". It matches the Rfam family "tRNA". Rfam says of the family: Transfer RNA (tRNA) molecules are approximately 80 nucleotides in length. Their secondary structure includes four short double-helical elements and three loops (D, anti-codon, and T loops). Lineage: Bacteria; Pseudomonadati; Pseudomonadota; Betaproteobacteria; Rhodocyclales; Azonexaceae. The record is from RNAcentral.
GCGGAAGUAGCUCAGUGGUAGAGCAGCGGCCACGUCGCGUGUCGUUGGUUCAAUCCCAACCUUCCGCUCCA